This is a long non-coding RNA of Lolium perenne, 1048 nucleotides long. RefSeq lists it as uncharacterized. NCBI's taxonomy places the organism in Eukaryota, Viridiplantae, Streptophyta, Magnoliopsida, Poales, Poaceae. The record is from RefSeq and is a predicted model, not a curated record.
ACCACGCCACUUUUACCGUGUUCCUGGAUCUUUCACGUUGACCCAUCUGCUAUCGCCGCCCUCGAUGCCCUGGGAUUGGGCCCCUUUUCAUCGGUGCACGAGGUGGCGCGGCCACCGUGGCAAGGAUAACCAUCGUCUUCCUCACCCAACCUCUCUUUCUGCCUCAACAAAUCUUGACGCAGCGGUGGAGAUCUAGACUAUGGUGCUGGCGUGCGUGCCUGAAGCUUGCGGCUGCACUUGGCGGAGGACUCCUCGCUGCCCUCAAGACAGCGGAGAAGAAGAGGGAAAAGAGGGGCGAACGAGGAGAGGAAAAGACAGAGUUAUUGUGGCAACCAGCACACGAUGUCGCCAUCGAUGGUCGCGACGGUCUACGUCGCCUAUGGACUGCGUUGGUGCUCCUCCGCGUGGAUGGCGUGGUAGGAUGCCGAGACGUCCUGGCCAAGGCCAUGCUGGCGCGCAAGGCGCUCUUUCCAGUUUGUAGCUGGGCAAGCUGGAGCAUGUCCAGUCCUCUGCGGCACAAGCCAGUAUGCCUCUCUGAUGGACGAGAUGCAAAGAGCCUCGAAAGGUGCGAUGGAUUAUAUUAGUCAUUACACUGAAGCUCCAAUGAGGAAGGGAGUAUUAUGAAUAUAUAAUUUUCAGUGGCAAUGAAGAAGCUUCAUGUUGACUGUAAUUCUGUUGAAACAAAAUCCUCAUCCCCAUGGUGAUACUUAUAAGCCCGCUGCAAGUUCAUACAUAUAUAAGACGAACUAAGCGAUCUUAUUUUAUAGAUUGAUCUUGCCAAUGAGAUCGAAGUGGUGGUUGUUUUGGAUGUCAGUGUGCCGAGGCAUCACACCAUAAUAACAACUGAAACAAUAUCAGGGUGUUGAGACAUCGUCAUGCUAUAAUGACAACUAAAACCGUGUUCAUCACCUUGCAGCUAUGCUUCUUCCUAGCUUCUGCGACUGUGUUCUUGGAUUCCUUCAGGUGGGAAGAAUAUCGUUAGGAAUUCAACAUGACAACUUCUGCAAUUCGGUGUGCCUUUAACUAAGUUUUUUUACAUGAAACCUCA